UUAAAAUAUAUUUCUCACACAGUGUAGACUGGGCUUCAGACUUCAUCCAAUCGGGGAUGAUGCUCAUUCGCUAUUAUAGUCUAAAAACAUUGCAUCAAGCAAAUGAGGUGCUGAACUCAUGGUUGAUCCCACGUGCUUUUAUCUCGCCCAUAUUACUCUAUUAGGCCGGUAAUAGGAACCAGAGCUAGUAAAGACUCAAGUGCGGAGAGCAGCAUCUAGGAAUCUCUCCACUUGGGUGUAAAUUACAGAGCUGCCUGGGGUGUUCUCUACCCUCUCUCACUGGCACCUUUCCCUGUUUCAUCUACACACACACACACACACACACACACACACACACACACACACACACAUGCACACGUACGAGACAAUGACUAUUACCCGACACACCUGGGUUCUGGGCCCCACAAUCUUCUUAAUAUCUUUUAAAUCUUCACAUAAGGUAUGCCUUCCAUAGGGCUUACAGUACCAUUUGCUCUAAUAAACUCUUUUGGCAGAGGUGCAUGCAAGCUGCUUCCGUGGCCCCCGGAGAGAGGAACGUAAGGCGGAGGGUGAGGCAUCCCAAAAUAUGAGGAUAAAUCGCAGGUUGCCUGAAGAUGCGGUGAGGGAAAUGCUGGCCGAUGUGUGCAAAUGGUCCAGAGCAGGAACAUCACACACACUCCAGCCCCAGGUGACAUCUGCUGGAAUAUUUACAGAGAGAGGCGACGUUCAGAAUGAAAUACUACUUCCUGCACAGUAUGUACUGAAUGCUACUUUUUAAAUAUAGCAUAUAAAAUAGAAUGCAUUAUUCAAAGAUAAACAUUUCAAAAGGCAUUAUGCCACAUUGUUGUCACAUGACCUCAUUACAUGCUUUUUUUAAAUCCAUGAGUGGCAUACAGUUUGCUUGGAAAUGAAAAUGGCUAUUUAUAAUCGGAGUAUGAAAAAUGUCUAUUAGUUGAAGUAUUCCAUUU
Molecule: long non-coding RNA, 947 nt
Organism: Cyprinus carpio carpio
Lineage: Eukaryota; Metazoa; Chordata; Actinopteri; Cypriniformes; Cyprinidae
Source: Ensembl